RNAcentral lists this long non-coding RNA (1461 nucleotides) under Gossypium barbadense (sea-island cotton). Its description in RNAcentral is "long non-coding RNA (GBAR_LNC016600)". The record is from RNAcentral. Lineage: Eukaryota; Viridiplantae; Streptophyta; Magnoliopsida; Malvales; Malvaceae.
UCAAAUCUAAGUCAUUUUCAACUUAUUAAUUAACUUUCUAGCCUAUGAAUUUUGAGUGUUACACUUUCCUAACAAAAAAAAAUCCAUUAAGUGCAAUAUUAGCCAAACUUUUUUUGUAAUCCAAAAUUGGACAACCAAGUUGAUAAUGACAUUAGAGAACAAAAACAACACAAAACGACAAUAACAAUACACAAAAUAUAUAUAAAAAUUAUAAUUAAUUUCACUCCUUAAAACAAAACAAAAAUCAAAUCACCAUCCAAAGCACAAUCUUGAAAUGUGUUGUAAGCACAAUAUUUCACUCAAUUUUGAACACUUUCUUCAAAUGCAAAACAAAGCCAUAGAUUUUGUCUUGAUCAGGCAGGGACUUGGAAACACAGUCUUUCUCCAUGCACCUUUUAGCCCAUGCAAUUAACUUGGGGCACUCUGUUUCAAUGCUAAAAUUCCCACGCUUUUCAUAGGCACCAGCUGUAAAAUGGAACCAACACAACAUCAACGUAACCAAGAUUCUCCCCACCAAAAUAAGCCUUGUUUCCAAGCUCUCCAUCUAACAAUUUCAGGCACUCAAUGAACUCUUUCUUUGCUGCUUUUUGUUCUUCUCCCUUUGUGGCCCAUACUUUCCUUCCUAGAUCAUAUAUCUGCAUUUCAUUGACCAUUAAUUUAUCCAUACAAGAUAAAAAUUUAAAUGAUUUCAAUCAUGUAACAAUAAAUUAUGAAAAACAAGAAUUUAAAAAAAAUUAUUUCGUAAAAGAUAUUGAAGCUAAACCUAGAUUAGCAGCCUGGGCAAACCAUUUAGUUUAGUCUCUUAAGAGACACCUACUAGAGUUCAAAGCUUGGUCUCCUAGGCUACUUGGAUUCGAAUAUAAAAUAUAAAAACAAUGUUAUCAAAAUUACCCAAAAAGGAAAGCAAGUAAAACACAGAGAAAUUCGAACCCAAGCAAAUCAACCUAUGCCAGCAAUGUUUAAGCUCAAAAGUUCAAAGGCAGUAAGGCAAAAAAAAGAACCCAUAAAAAUGAAAAGAAAGAGGAGAGAACAUUCUUGUCAACAAAAUCACCCCAGAACUUAGCAAUGGCUCUUUAGUAAGGAUCAGUAGGGCGCAAGGGAGAUUUAUGCGGCCAAAUCUCAUCAAUGUACUAAACCUGAAUGAGGAACUCACAAACAAGUUUACCAUUAUGGAUAAGAAUAGGGAUUUUCUUAUGAAUAGGAUUCAUCUUUAAAAGCAAAUCACUCUUGUUACUCAAAUCUUCUUCCUUGUACUCGUAUUUUAUCCCUUUUUCCGCCAAAGCAAUCCUCACCUCACCCCAAAGGGACUUGGCCAGGAAUCCAACAAUACUACCUCUGAUCUCCCCUUUUUUCAAACUCAAAACAAAUUCAAAACGAUUUGAACUCUUUAUCUUUAGGUUCUAAUACCUGAAACUGAAGGGUUUUGCCAUUGUAUUUAUAGACAGAGUUUAGAGUUAGUGG